AGAACGAACGCUGGCGGCAUGCCUAAUACAUGCAAGUCGAACGAACUCUUCGGAGUUAGUGGCGCACGGGUGCGUAACGCGUGGGAAUCUGCCCCUUGGUUCGGAAUAACAGUUGGAAACGACUGCUAAUACCGGAUGAUGACGAAAGUCCAAAGAUUUAUCGCCAAGGGAUGAGCCCGCGUAGGAUUAGCUAGUUGGUGAGGUAAAGGCUCACCAAGGCAACGAUCCUUAGCUGGUCUGAGAGGAUGAUCAGCCACACUGGGACUGAGACACGGCCCAGACUCCUACGGGAGGCAGCAGUAGGGAAUAUUGGACAAUGGGCGAAAGCCUGAUCCAGCAAUGCCGCGUGAGUGAUGAAGGCCUUAGGUUGUAAAGCUCUUUUACCGAGAUGAUAAUGACAGUAUCGGAGAAUAAGCCCCGGACUAACUCCGUGCCAGCAGCCGC
Molecule: ribosomal RNA, 444 nt
Filed under: uncultured soil bacterium
Lineage: Bacteria
Description: bacterial SSU rRNA
Rfam family: Bacterial small subunit ribosomal RNA
Source: RNAcentral